UGUAGCUUAACAAGAUUCAUUGCCUUAAAUUUAGCCAGAUUAUCUUGUCCAUCUUGUUUUGAACAUUACAAGCUAGUUUCCAGUCUCAUGUGUGAGAUGAUUAGACUUGUUUCAAGUAUAUAUUACUUUUCUUAUUUAGUCUGUAAAUCUAAAAUGAACCAUUUUACAUUUAUUUCAAGCAAAAAUAGCUUUUAGAUAGAGUGUAAAACAAAAAAAUAUCUUAAAAUAAGAUCCAUUAUCUCACUGUUUGAAUCAGAGCGAAGGACAUGAGGGAGCACGUUCGGACUGGAUUCUGUUAAGGUAAUUAACUUUUGCUUGCAAACAUUUAAGGUUCUUUUAGCUUUGACUUACUGUAGUAACAUCAGUCGUGGUCAAAUAUUAAGUUUUACCAAGGCAGUAUUAUCAGUUUACUACCAAUGGGUAGUUAGCCAAAACUGCCAGCCAGCUAGCUAGCUUAGUUCAUUCAGAAUGCUGAAUUGUUAGCAUGCAGUGAGAGUUUAAAAUUAUUAAUGGUGCUAGUUGGGUAAAUUUAGUUUCAUAUACUUAACAUAGCUAUACAACAAAAGAACUACAGUUGAUAUCCGCCUUUGCAAAAGUCAGUUUUGCAUGUCCCACCCACGGACAAUAAAAAGCUGCAGUGGGGUUCCCCCCCCCUUUCUUAAGCCGCGCGCUCUCUGUCUGCACUGUGCUUGGUGUGUUUGUGUGUGCAACUUGGGAGGACCGAUACUGGUUUGAGACAAAUCUCACAAUCGGGCUCGUAACUUUACAACGCCGUUUUCGAAUUCACUUAUGGAUAACUUAAGCCUACAGCUCCAGCACCAGUCAAACUGUCGGCUUACAUCCAGCGUUCUCUGCUGCUUAAUUUUUUUUUUUGUUAUGGAAAAAGACAGGGGUGUUGGACAGAUCUAUAUUUAACUUAAAUGAGGAUUUACUUAAGUCAUCAAGAGUUAACUCUCAAAAUUACAUUUAACCAACAUGAGUUUAUUCAAAUUUUAUUUGCAAGUCCAGUUUGGGUAAUGAAAUUAAAGAUAACACAAGGGAAUAAAAUAAUGCACAUUUAUGAAUGACAUCUUUACCUAUAGAUUUACUUUAAGCUUCAUUUCCGACAGAUCAUGAUUAAUCAUAUAAACUAUUGUAAGUUGGAGAUGUGAACUUACUUCCAAUUAUUUAUGUUGUAAACUAUUAAUAUAAAUCAGGUCACUUUAACCUUGCUGAACCGAGGUAAUAUUUUUUCUUAUGGAUGAAGUGGCCUAAUCUGAGCUUUGAUCAUUUGUUGAAUGACUUGACAAGCAGUUGGGCACUAUUAGUUUUAGUUUGAAAACUAGUUUGGAAUAGCCUUGUCAUAAAUUUUAUGUGAGCAAUUUUAUAAGACUUAACCAUGGAAGAACAGUGAAAUGUAUACAUUUAAAAGAGAUGUACAACUUUUACUGACUUAUUUACAGCUGCCAACAUAGAUGAGGUCUUGCUCCACACCCUCAGUAGGGACGAUUUAAGGGACCUACUUCCAGGGCCUGAAAAUUUUAUGAGGAGGAAACAGUUGUGGGCUCAAGUUCACAAAGAGGCAAGUUUUGCCGCUUUUGAUUGAAAAACACCUAGCACAACACAUUUUGUUUAGGACUCCUGUAAUAUAACUAUUUUUGUUUUCUUAUUUAGGAUGAAACUAAAGAAAAGGUGUCUCAUGGAUAUCUCACCAUGUGACCAGGGAGAAGAUUAUGAUGCAGAUUCAAGUGGUGGAUCGAACAUGCUUUUGCCACCCAGGAGCAGUUCUGGUGACAACAGUUCCCUGUUCAGGGCACUACCAACUCUCUUCCUAUCACAAGCUGCACCACCCAAGAAGAUGGGACAUGUCAGUGAAGCACUGAUUCAUGUCCUUCAGAAGAUCCAGCGUCAGCCCUGUUCAGCUCUUUGAAGGGUCCCGCUGUCUUAUUGCAGUUGGAACCACUCCCAUCACCACAUUUGCCACAGAUGACCUUGGAGAAGGUUUGCUGUAUCUUAUGGCAUACUACUACACCCUGCAUCUUACCUAUCCUAAAUGUGUGGCAACGCUUCUGUCUGUCAUUCAGACAGAAGCGUUAAAAGACAAAAUCCAUGAGCAAGACACCACAGGCUCAUACAAAAAAGUCAUGGCAGGCUGUAGGAAUUUUUAUUGAAACAUAGAGCUGUUUGAACAAGAUUUAGCUUAGGUCUGUGUUGGAAGGUUUGGACCUGAUAGCUUUGAAGUUGAAAUUGAUACUUGAAUUUAUUUAUUUAUUUUUUAAUUCUUUGUUCUGUAUUACAUUAAUAAAAGUACUUUUUUUCUUUAAACACAUCUGUUCUGCAAAUUCUGUUUAAAAUUUCAAAUGCUCAUUUUAUAUGUUGAGUAGUUAACUGGUUUAACAGUUCUAAAAGGAACACAAAAUAACAAUGUUACACUUACAAUGUGUCUUUAAAUUUUUGUAUACUAUGAUUGACUGAAAUAUUUGUUACUGUUUGGAGAGUUUGUUUCCAAUAAAGGUCAUGCACACAGUA
Molecule: long non-coding RNA, 2508 nt
Organism: Oreochromis niloticus (Nile tilapia)
Lineage: Eukaryota; Metazoa; Chordata; Actinopteri; Cichliformes; Cichlidae
Exons: 3
Source: RefSeq, a predicted model, not a curated record